UUAUCUCUUGCUUGGAGGUGAAGUUACACGUAUAAAAGGAAUUCAAGGUUGUCCUAUUCCCUUUACAAAGGAAAGAAUCAAAAGACGGAAUGAAAGUGCUCGUUCUGUUGUCGAUUUUCGGACUAGCUGUGGCCGAGCCGCUUGUGGCUGAGCCGGUACCAGAAGCCGUAUAUGGAGAGAAAGCUUAUGAUAAUCCCGAGGAGAAUUCGGGUCUUUUCGAGGGUGAUAUUGACCUCCUGCCCGGAGAAACCCCAAAUG
Long non-coding RNA from Ruditapes philippinarum (Manila clam), 258 nucleotides. RefSeq lists it as uncharacterized. Lineage: Eukaryota; Metazoa; Mollusca; Bivalvia; Venerida; Veneridae. The record is from RefSeq and is a predicted model, not a curated record. The transcript has 3 exons.